GCCUAGGGGAGGCAGCGGUGGGGAAUCUUAGACAAUGCAGCAGAGCAUAAUCACAGCAAAUGGAGCGAAGCAGAAGCCGCCACGCCGGGAAGUGAUGAAGGUCGUAGGAAGUAAUGUCUUCACAGAGAAGAUAAUGACGUACCUCAGAGAGCC
This 153-nucleotide ribosomal RNA is filed under the name uncultured bacterium. Its description in RNAcentral is "partial 16S ribosomal RNA". The record is from RNAcentral.